GAACGCUGGCGGCGUGCUUAACACAUGCAAGUCGAACGAACCUUCGGGUUAGUGGCGGACGGGUGAGUAACGCGUGAGAAUCUGCCCUCAGGAGGGGGAUAACAGCUGGAAACGGCUGCUAAUACCCCAUAUGCCGCGAGGUGAAAUGAAUUUCGCCUGAGGAUGAGCUCGCGUCUGAUUAGCUAGUUGGUGUAGGUAAUGGCUCACCAAGGCAUCGAUCAGUAGCUGGUCUGAGAGGAUGAUCAGCCACACUGGGACUGAGACACGGCCCAGACUCCUACGGGAGGCAGCAGUGGGGAAUUUUCCGCAAUGGGCGAAAGCCUGACGGAGCAACGCCGCGUGAGGGAUGAAGGCCUCUGGGCUGUAAACCUCUUUUAUCAAGGAAGAAGAUCUGACGGUACUUGAUGAAUAAGCCACG
This 418-nucleotide ribosomal RNA is filed under the name uncultured bacterium. RNAcentral's name for it is "bacterial SSU rRNA". It matches the Rfam family "Bacterial small subunit ribosomal RNA", at positions 31 to 495 of the family's 1533-position model. The record is from RNAcentral.